GCGUCACGGCAGGGGUGGGGCGGAGGCUGAGGGCCUAGGCUACUAGGAAGCAAGAAGGUCCCAAACCCCGGCCCACCUGUUGAAGAAAUUCCUACUCUGACACCUAGUUGAUCAAGAGAUUUUUGCUGUUGUUGUUUUGGUGGCCUGUUGUACAUAGACACCAAUAGUUUUCAGAACUGAAUAUCUGAAUAUCCUGGAGACUACAGGGAAGGUUUUGGUCUCUCCUAGAGUUUCUUUGCGGCCAAACAUGGUUUCCAGGAACCGAGUGUCCAGAAGGCUAAGGAGAGGCUUCAUCCAGUAACUGAUGGAAACAAAUGCAGAGACUCACAAUCAAACAUUAGACCGAGCUCGGGGAAUCCUGCUGAAGAGAGGGAGGAUUGUACAAGUCAGAGAGUUCAAGGACAUCACAGGAAAACCCACAAAAUCAACUAACCUGGGCUCACAGGAGCUCACAGAGUCUGAGCCAACAACCAGGGAGUUUGCAUGGGACUGACUCAGGCCCUCUACAUAUAUGUGACACUUGUGUAGCUUCAUCUAUUUGUGGGACUCCUAACAGUGGGAUCAGGGGAAGCAGAUGUCCCCAAUGCUUUGGUUGGCUUUUGGGAACCUAUUCUUAUACUGGGUUGCCUUGCCCAGCCUUAAUACAUAGGGAGGAGAUUAGUCCUACCAAAACUUGAUAUACAUGAUUUGUUGAUAUCCAUGGGAGACCUGCCCUUUAUGGAUCAAAAACGGAAGAGUGAAUGGGGGGGGCAAGAGGGAGAUGGGGGCAGGGAAUGGGAAGAGAGGAGAGAGAGGAAACUGUGGUUGGGAUGUAAAAUAAAUUAAUUUAAUAUUUAAAAUGUAGGGGAUGCCAGGAAGUUUUAUAUUAUGUGAUUCAGUUUAACAUAGAGUACAUGUCAAAAAGAACUUGGGAGGGUUUAGGCACUGAUUUCUUAAUAAAUUAGGAGUUGCUGUUAGUCCGUA
Cricetulus griseus (Chinese hamster) is the source of this 963-nucleotide non-coding RNA. The record is from RefSeq and is a predicted model, not a curated record. NCBI's taxonomy places the organism in Eukaryota, Metazoa, Chordata, Mammalia, Rodentia, Cricetidae.